GACGAACGCUGGCGGCGUGCCUAACACAUGCAAGUCGAGCGGGGUUGAAGCGAGAGGUAACUCGAACUUCUACCUAGCGGCGGACGGGUGAGUAACGCGUGGGCAACCUGCCUCAAGGUCUGGGAUAACAGCCCGAAAGGGCUGCUAAUACCGGGUAUGCUUGUGGCCUCGCAUGGGGCUAUGAGCAAAGGGGAAACCCGCCUUGAGAUGGGCCCGCGUCCCAUCAGCUAGUUGGUGAGGUAACAGCUCACCAAGGCGACGACGGGUAGCCGGCCUGAGAGGGUGACCGGCCACACUGGGACUGAGACACGGCCCAGACUCCUACGGGGGGCAGCAGUGGGGGAUCUUGCACAAUGGGCGAAAGCCUGAUGCAGCGACGCCGCGUGAGCGAAGAAGGCCUUCGGGUUGUAAAGCUCUGUCUGGAGGGACGAAGGAAGUGACGGUACCUCCGGAGGAAGCCACGGCUAACUACGUG
RNAcentral lists this ribosomal RNA (475 nucleotides) under uncultured bacterium. RNAcentral's name for it is "bacterial SSU rRNA". It matches the Rfam family "Bacterial small subunit ribosomal RNA", at positions 28 to 507 of the family's 1533-position model. The record is from RNAcentral.